UUUCCGUAGGUGAACCUGCGGAAGGAUCAUUAUUGAAUAACCGAUGGGCGAGGGCUGUCGCUGACUCGACAGGUGGACCAUGUACGAGAGUCUUCAGAUUCAAUUAUACCACCCCUAUGUGCUCCACGUCGUGGGUUCCUCACAGACUUAAUCGUAUGGCGGCGGACGUCUUCACACAAACUUUGCAUGCAGAGGAGAAAGUAUGUUUUGUCUUUGCGAUGACGCAAACUAAACAACUUUCAACAACGAACCCCUUGGCUCUCUGAUCGAUGAAGAACA
RNAcentral lists this unclassified non-coding RNA (279 nucleotides) under plant metagenome. RNAcentral describes it as "partial contains small subunit ribosomal RNA, internal transcribed spacer 1, and 5.8S ribosomal RNA". The record is from RNAcentral.